Molecule: ribosomal RNA, 971 nt
Filed under: Bacillus subtilis subsp. natto
Lineage: Bacteria; Bacillati; Bacillota; Bacilli; Caryophanales; Bacillaceae
Description: bacterial SSU rRNA
Rfam family: Bacterial small subunit ribosomal RNA
Source: RNAcentral
GGCGUUCCGGGGUAAAAUUUUGAAAGGGCGAGCGGAAGAUGGGAGCUUGCUCCCUGAUGUUAGCGGCGGACGGGUGAGUAACACGUGGGUAACCUGCCUGUAAGACUGGGAUAACUCCGGGAAACCGGGGCUAAUACCGGAUGGUUGUUUGAACCGCAUGGUUCAAACAUAAAAGGUGGCUUCGGCUACCACUUACAGAUGGACCCGCGGCGCAUUAGCUAGUUGGUGAGGUAACGGCUCACCAAGGCAACGAUGCGUAGCCGACCUGAGAGGGUGAUCGGCCACACUGGGACUGAGACACGGCCCAGACUCCUACGGGAGGCAGCAGUAGGGAAUCUUCCGCAAUGGACGAAAGUCUGACGGAGCAACGCCGCGUGAGUGAUGAAGGUUUUCGGAUCGUAAAGCUCUGUUGUUAGGGAAGAACAAGUACCGUUCGAAUAGGGCGGUACCUUGACGGUACCUAACCAGAAAGCCACGGCUAACUACGUGCCAGCAGCCGCGGUAAUACGUAGGUGGCAAGCGUUGUCCGGAAUUAUUGGGCGUAAAGGGCUCGCAGGCGGUUUCUUAAGUCUGAUGUGAAAGCCCCCGGCUCAACCGGGGAGGGUCAUUGGAAACUGGGGAACUUGAGUGCAGAAGAGGAGAGUGGAAUUCCACGUGUAGCGGUGAAAUGCGUAGAGAUGUGGAGGAACACCAGUGGCGAAGGCGACUCUCUGGUCUGUAACUGACGCUGAGGAGCGAAAGCGUGGGGAGCGAACAGGAUUAGAUACCCUGGUAGUCCACGCCGUAAACGAUGAGUGCUAAGUGUUAGGGGGGUUUCCGCCCCUUAGUGCUGCAGCUAACGCAUUAAGCACUCCGCCUGGGGGAGUACGGUCGCAAGACUGAAACUCAAAGGAAUUGACGGGGGGCCCGCACAAGCGGUGCAGCAUGUGGUUUAAUUCGAAGGAACGCGAAAAACCUUACCAGGUCUUGAC